Molecule: ribosomal RNA, 253 nt
Filed under: uncultured bacterium
Lineage: Bacteria
Description: partial 16S ribosomal RNA
Rfam family: Bacterial small subunit ribosomal RNA
Source: RNAcentral
UACGGAGGGGGCAAGCGUUAUUCGGAAUUAUUGGGCGUAAAGGGCGCGUAGGCGGCUAGAUGUGUCAAAGGUGAAAUCCCUCGGCUCAACUGAGGAACUGCCUUUGAAACUGUCUGGCUUGAGGCCGGGAGAGGGUAGCGGAAUUCCCAGUGUAGCGGUGAAAUGCGUAGAUAUUGGGAGGAACACCAGUGGCGAAGGCGGCUACCUGGACCGGUUCUGACGCUGAGGCACGAAAGCGUGGGUAGCAAACAGG